GACGAACGCUGGCGGCGUGCUUAACACAUGCAAGUCGAGCGGUAAGGCCCUUCGGGUACGACGAGCGGCGAACGGGUGAGUAACACGUGGGUGACCUCGCCUCUAGCUCUGGGAUAAGCCUGGGAAACUAGGGUCUAAUACCGGAUAUGACUCCACGGCGCAUGUUGUGGGGUGGAAAGCCUUGUGUGGCUAGAGAUGGGCCCGCGGCCUAUCAGCUUGUUGGUGGGGUGAUGGCCUACCAAGGCGACGACGGGUAGCCGGCCUGAGAGGGC
RNAcentral lists this ribosomal RNA (272 nucleotides) under uncultured bacterium. Its description in RNAcentral is "partial 16S ribosomal RNA". It matches the Rfam family "Bacterial small subunit ribosomal RNA", at positions 28 to 301 of the family's 1533-position model. The record is from RNAcentral.